AUUGAACGCUGGCGGCAGGCCUAACACAUGCAAGUCGAGCGGAUGAAGGGAGCUUGCUCCUGGAUUCAGCGGCGGACGGGUGAGUAAUGCCUAGGAAUCUGCCUGGUAGUGGGGGAUAACGUCCGGAAACGGGCGCUAAUACCGCAUACGUCCUGAGGGAGAAAGUGGGGGAUCUUCGGACCUCACGCUAUCAGAUGAGCCUAGGUCGGAUUAGCUAGUUGGUGGGGUAAAGGCCUACCAAGGCGACGAUCCGUAACUGGUCUGAGAGGAUGAUCAGUCACACGGGAACUGAGACACGGUCCAGACUCCUACGGGAGGCAGCAGUGGGGAAUAUUAGACAAUGGGCGAAAGCCUGAUCCAGCCAUGCCGCGUGUGUGAAGAAGGUCUUCGGAUUGUAAAGCACUUUAAGUUGGGAGGAAGGGCAGUAAGUUAAUACCUUGCUGUUUUGACGUUACCAACAGAAUAAGCACCGGCUAACUUCGUG
This 484-nucleotide ribosomal RNA is filed under the name uncultured bacterium. Its description in RNAcentral is "partial 16S ribosomal RNA". It matches the Rfam family "Bacterial small subunit ribosomal RNA", at positions 30 to 507 of the family's 1533-position model. The record is from RNAcentral.